This 253-nucleotide ribosomal RNA is filed under the name uncultured bacterium. RNAcentral's name for it is "partial 16S ribosomal RNA". It matches the Rfam family "Bacterial small subunit ribosomal RNA", at positions 524 to 776 of the family's 1533-position model. The record is from RNAcentral.
UACGGAGGGUGCGAGCGUUGUCCGGAAUCACUGGGCGUAAAGGGCGCGUAGGCGGCCUGAUAAGUAGGGGGUGAAAUCCUGCGGCUUAACCGCAGGGCUGCCUUCUAAACUGUCAGGCUUGAGCACAGUAGAGGCAGGUGGAAUUCCCGGUGUAGCGGUGGAAUGCGUAGAGAUCGGGAAGAACAUCAGUGGCGAAAGCACUCUGCUGGGCCGACACUGACACUGAGAGACGAAAGCUAGGGGAGCGAAUGGG